UAGAGGGGAUGGUACAAUAGAAGCAC
This 26-nucleotide non-coding RNA is filed under the name Homo sapiens (human). Lineage: Eukaryota; Metazoa; Chordata; Mammalia; Primates; Hominidae. The record is from RNAcentral.